This 447-nucleotide ribosomal RNA is filed under the name uncultured bacterium. RNAcentral describes it as "partial 16S ribosomal RNA". It matches the Rfam family "Bacterial small subunit ribosomal RNA", at positions 330 to 793 of the family's 1533-position model. The record is from RNAcentral.
ACCAGACUCCUACGGGAGGCAGCAGUGGGGGAUAUUGCACAAUGGGGGAAACCCUGAUGCAGCGACGCCGCGUGGGCGAAGAAGUAUUUCGGUAUGUAAAGCCCUCUCAGCAGGGAAGAAGGAGGACGGUACCUGACUAAGAAGCCCCGGCUAACUACGUGCCAGCAGCCGCGGUAAUACGUAGGGGGCAAGCGUUAUCCGGAUUUACUGGGUGUAAAGGGGGCGCAGACGGCAGCGCAAGCCAGGAGUGAAAGCCCGGGGCCCAACCCCGGGACUGCUCUUGGAACUGCGCGGCUGGAGUGCAGGAGGGGCAGGCGGAAUUCCUGGUGUAGCGGUGAAAUGCGUAGAUAUCAGGAGGAACACCGGUGGCGAAGGCGGCCUGCUGGACUGCGACUGACGUUGAGGCCCGAAAGCGUGGGGAGCAAACAGGAUUAGAUACCCCGGUAC